AGGAUCAUUUGCAAUGGGCGAAAGCCUGACAAUGCGACGCUGCGUGGAGGAUGAAGGCCUUCGGGUUGUAAACUCCUGUCAUGGGGGAACAGGCUAGGGGACCCAACACGUCCCUUAGUUGAGUGUACCCCAAGAGGAAUUGGCGGCUAACUCUGUGCCAGCAGCCGCGGUAAUACAGAGGCCAAGAGCGUUGUUCGGAUUUACUGGGCGUAAAGGGCGCGUAGGCGGCAAGGCGUGUCAAGUGUGAAAUCUCCGGGCCCAACCCGGAAAGUGCGCUUGAAACUACCAUGCUUUGAGUCCGGGAGGGGGAAUCGGAAUACAGGGUGUAGCGGUGAAAUGCGUUGAUAUCCUGUAGAACACCGGAGGCGAAGGCGGAUUCCUUGAACGGUACUGACGCUGAGGCGCGAAAGUCGGGGGAGCAAACA
This 425-nucleotide ribosomal RNA is filed under the name uncultured bacterium. RNAcentral describes it as "bacterial SSU rRNA". It matches the Rfam family "Bacterial small subunit ribosomal RNA", at positions 358 to 774 of the family's 1533-position model. The record is from RNAcentral.